This 89-nucleotide ribosomal RNA is filed under the name Oscillibacter sp. RNAcentral's name for it is "partial 16S ribosomal RNA". It matches the Rfam family "Bacterial small subunit ribosomal RNA", at positions 257 to 345 of the family's 1533-position model. Lineage: Bacteria; Bacillati; Bacillota; Clostridia; Eubacteriales; Oscillospiraceae. The record is from RNAcentral.
GUAACGGCCCACCAAGGCGACGAUCAGUAGCCGGCCUGAGAGGGUGGACGGCCACAUUGGGACUGAGACACGGCCCAAACUCCUACGGG